RNAcentral lists this long non-coding RNA (234 nucleotides) under Mytilus galloprovincialis (Mediterranean mussel). The record is from RNAcentral. Lineage: Eukaryota; Metazoa; Mollusca; Bivalvia; Mytilida; Mytilidae.
UAACUAUAUUUGAUAUGUGCGUACCUUGCAAGGUCCUUGUGUCUGUCAGACAGUUUUCACUUGACCUCGACCUCAUUUCAUGGAUCAGUGAACAAGGUUAAGUUUUGGUGGUCAAGUCCAUAUCUCAGAUACUAUAAGCAAUAGGGCUAGUAUAUUCGGUGUAUGGAAGGACUGUAAGGUGUACAUGUCCAACUGGCAGGUGUCAUCUGACCUUGACCUCAUUUUCAUGGUUCA